Molecule: long non-coding RNA, 312 nt
Organism: Gavialis gangeticus (Gharial)
Lineage: Eukaryota; Metazoa; Chordata; Crocodylia; Gavialidae
Exons: 2
Source: RefSeq, a predicted model, not a curated record
UGCUGUUGCAGCUUUCCCUCUAGUAGCAAUGUGGGGUGAGGGGUGAAUUUAAGGCAACCGUCCACUAAUUAUAACAAAUUUAUAAUUUUCCAUGUAUGGAAUCUAAUUAUUGGGGAGCCAUCUUAAAUUCAAAGUAGUCUUGGUUUCAGAUAAAUAUGGUAGUUUUAGUGAUAUAAUAAAUCAACCGUGUCAGUCCUUCUUCAUAUGUGGUCCUUUAUUGCAUAUUUGAAUUAAGGCCCCAUUAUGCUAGGACUGUGCAUACAUACCUCAAAAAAUGUAUGUUCUUAGUUCUUAGAGUAAGAUGGACAAAAC